AUGGGGCCUGGGGGUGUACAGGUCCCCAUCUGGCCUCUGGAGGGCGAUGUUGCACCAGGAGGUUCUGUGGAUGGCCAUCUUCUCAGCUCCUCCUCUGGCAGCAGGUCGAGUUCUUUGCAGACAGAGACAGGAGAUGCCAGGGCCCAGACAGUGACCCAGCUGGACCCCCAUGUUUUGGUCUCUGAAGGAAAAUCACUGGAGCUGAGGUGCAACUAUUCGUAUAGUGGAAUUCCUACUCGCUUCUGGUACGUCCAGUACCCCAACCAAGGCCUCCAGCUUCUCCUCCAGUCCUUUUCACCUGAUCCCCUGGUUCAAGGCAGUAAAGAUUUUGAAGCUGAAUUUAAUAAGACCAACUCUUCCUUCAACCUGAAAAAGUCCUCAGCCCACUGGGGAGACUCAGCCCAGUACUUCUGUGCUGUGACACAGUGA
Molecule: non-coding RNA, 429 nt
Organism: Condylura cristata (star-nosed mole)
Lineage: Eukaryota; Metazoa; Chordata; Mammalia; Eulipotyphla; Talpidae
Source: the annotation of a RefSeq genome assembly